ACACACUAAAGGGAUAGAAUACAGAGGAAAGUGUAAAAAGGCUCCCCUGUAAAGAAAGAGACUUUAACCUACACUUAUCCACAAUCUUGAAGAUACAAUUGAAAGGGGGGUGCAAACAUCAAUGAUCUUCUUUUCCAUUAAAACCAUGAUGAAGAGGAAGAACAUACACAUAACACUCAAACAGUAGGGUUACUUCUGAAUGAUCCAAGAGCUUUAACUGCACCUGCUCUUAAGAUGAAUUGAUGGUAGAAUGCAGCAAUGGCUGCCCCAAUAAAUGGUCCAACCCAAAAGAUCCACUGGUCACAC
Molecule: long non-coding RNA, 306 nt
Filed under: Trifolium pratense (red clover)
Lineage: Eukaryota; Viridiplantae; Streptophyta; Magnoliopsida; Fabales; Fabaceae
Description: long non-coding RNA (TPRA_LNC000268)
Source: RNAcentral